CAGACACGGAGACAACAGUCUUUUGCAGGGAGAAAAAGUCUUCAUUGCAGGGCGGCCACGCAAGGAGACAGGAAGCAGAACUCUGAAAUCUGUCUCCCAGAUGGCAAGGCCUUUUCAGAGUAAAGUCCAUCUUUUUGAAGACUGCAUUCAUCUAAAAAAAAUUACCUUACCUGUCCUACAACAGAGUAUUUGGCACUCUGUCUUACAGUCAUGCUCCUGAUCAGAAGACGAGACCAGGUGAGUGAGGAUGACUCAGCUGGAUUGGCUGGGAAAACAUGCUGGGGCCUGUGAAGAGGUUGGAUCAGGCAUAGCGUUGAGAGCUGGCUCACAUGAUGUCUCAAACUUCCACCCCCUCCUUGCUUCGACCACCAUUAGCUUCUUUGCUUUCCUUUCUUUGUUUCUUUUUUUUGUUAACUUGUGAAAGCUUUACUGUUUUAAAUUAAUUUUUAAAAACAGAC
This is a long non-coding RNA of Aethalodelphis obliquidens (Pacific white-sided dolphin), 458 nucleotides long. RefSeq lists it as uncharacterized. Lineage: Eukaryota; Metazoa; Chordata; Mammalia; Artiodactyla; Delphinidae. The record is from RefSeq and is a predicted model, not a curated record. The transcript is spliced from 3 exons.